This 119-nucleotide ribosomal RNA is filed under the name Lottia gigantea (owl limpet). Lineage: Eukaryota; Metazoa; Mollusca; Gastropoda; Lottiidae. The record is from RNAcentral.
GUCUACGGCCAUACCACGUUGAAAGCACCAGUUCUCGAUCGAUCACUGAAGUUAAGCAACGUCGGGCUCGGUUAGUACUUGGAUGGGUGACCGCCUGGGAACACCGAGUGCUGUAGACU